UAAGGAAUCUUCCACAAUGGGCGAAAGCCUGAUGGAGCAAUACCGCGUGAAGGAUGAAUGUCUUCGGAUUGUAAACUUCUUUUAUAUGUGAAGAUUAUGACGGUAUCAUAUGAAUAAGCAUCGGCUAACUACGUGCCAGCAGCCGCGGUAAUACGUAGGAUGCAAGCGUUAUCCGGAAUUAUUGGGCGUAAAGAGUUUGUAGGUGGCAAGUUAAGUUGAAUGUUAAAUCUCAGGGCUCAACCCUGGGGCUGCAUUCAAUACUGGCUAGCUCGAGGUAUGGAGAGGUAAGCGGAAUUAGUAGUGUAGCGGUGAAAUGCGUAGAUAUUACUAAGAACACCAAUGGCGAAGGCAGCUUACUGGCCAUAUCCUGACACUGAGAAACGAAAGCGUGGGGAGCGAACAGG
This 404-nucleotide ribosomal RNA is filed under the name uncultured bacterium. RNAcentral's name for it is "bacterial SSU rRNA". It matches the Rfam family "Bacterial small subunit ribosomal RNA", at positions 355 to 776 of the family's 1533-position model. The record is from RNAcentral.